This 938-nucleotide ribosomal RNA is filed under the name Psilocybe zapotecorum. Its description in RNAcentral is "LSU rRNA". It matches the Rfam family "Eukaryotic large subunit ribosomal RNA", at positions 38 to 962 of the family's 3401-position model. Lineage: Eukaryota; Fungi; Basidiomycota; Agaricomycetes; Agaricales; Agrocybaceae. The record is from RNAcentral.
GCAUACAAUAAGCGGAGGAAAAGAAACUAACAAGGAUUCCCCUAGUAACUGCGAGUGAAGCGGGAAAAGCUCAAAUUUAAAAUCUGGCGGUCUUUGGCCGUCCGAGUUGUAAUCUAGAGAAGUGUUAUCCGCGCUGGACCGUGUACAAGUCUCCUGGAAUGGAGCGUCAUAGAGGGUGAGAAUCCCGUCUUUGACACGGACUGCCAGGGCUUUGUGAUGCGCUCUCAAAGAGUCGAGUUGUUUGGGAAUGCAGCUCAAAAUGGGUGGUAAAUUCCAUCUAAAGCUAAAUAUUGGCGAGAGACCGAUAGCGAACAAGUACCGUGAGGGAAAGAUGAAAAGAACUUUGGAAAGAGAGUUAAACAGUACGUGAAAUUGCUGAAAGGGAAACGCUUGAAGUCAGUCGCGUUGGCCGGGAAUCAACCUUGCUUUUGCUGGGCGUACUUUCCGGUUGACGGGUCAACAUCAAUUUUGACCGUUGGAUAAAGGCUGAGGGAAUGUGGCUUCUUCGGGAGUGUUAUAGCCCUUGGUCGCAUACAACGGUUGGGAUUGAGGAACUCAGCACGCCGCAAGGCCGGGUACUUGUACCACGUUCGUGCUUAGGAUGUUGGCAUAAUGGCUUUAAUCGACCCGUCUUGAAACACGGACCAAGGAGUCUAACAUGCCUGCGAGUGUUUGGGUGGAAAACCCGAGCGCGUAAUGAAAGUGAAAGUUGAGAUCCCUGUCGUGGGGAGCAUCGACGCCCGGACCAGAACUUUUGGGACGGAUCCGCGGUAGAGCAUGUAUGUUGGGACCCGAAAGAUGGUGAACUAUGCCUGAAUAGGGUGAAGCCAGAGGAAACUCUGGUGGAGGCUCGUAGCGAUUCUGACGUGCAAAUCGAUCGUCAAAUUUGGGUAUAGGGGCGAAAGACUAAUCGAACCAUCUAGUAGCUGGUUCCUGCG